This 468-nucleotide ribosomal RNA is filed under the name uncultured bacterium. Its description in RNAcentral is "partial 16S ribosomal RNA". It matches the Rfam family "Bacterial small subunit ribosomal RNA", at positions 28 to 507 of the family's 1533-position model. The record is from RNAcentral.
GACGAACGCUGGCGGCGUGCUUAACACAUGCAAGUCGAACGGAAAGGCCCUGCUUUUGUGGGGUGCUCGAGUGGCGAACGUGUGUGUAACACGUGAGUAACCUGCCCUUGACUUUGGGAUAACUUCAGGAAACUGGGGCUAAUACCGGAUAGGAGCCCCUGCUGCGUGGUGGGGGUUGGAAAGUUUCGGCGGUUGGGGAUGGACUCGCGGCUUAUCCGUUUGUUGGGGGGGUAGUGGCUUACCAAGGCUUUGACGGGUAGCCGGCCUGAGAGGGUGACCGGCCACAUUGGGACUGGGAUACGGCCCAGACUCCUACGGGAGGAAGCAGUGGGGAAUAUGGAACAAUGGGCGGAAGCCGGAGGCAGAAAGGCCGCGGGCGGGAUGACGGCCUUCGGGUUGUAAACCGCUUUCGCCUGUGACGAAGCGUGAGUGACGGUAAUGGGUAAAGAAGCACCGGCUAACUACGUG